Molecule: long non-coding RNA, 3491 nt
Organism: Mustela lutreola (European mink)
Lineage: Eukaryota; Metazoa; Chordata; Mammalia; Carnivora; Mustelidae
Exons: 5
Source: RefSeq, a predicted model, not a curated record
AAAGCAUGAGCUACCUUGGAUACCAUUACUGAGGAUGAACUAAGUGUGUUGAAUUACCAGUCUGGCUCCUCUCCUUUUUCCCGGUGGAAUUGGCUCCAGCCAUUGAACAGGCUAUUGAUUCAUCCAAGGUCAUAUAAUCUAAUGAACAUCAGAGACAGAAUGAGAAUUAUUGCCAAAGACGACUCCUGCAAAGGAAGAUACGUGAGUAUUGAUGAACACACACUUGGUGACCAUGAGAAAGCUACUGAAUGUUUCAGUGCCUCAGUUUAUUCACCUGUGAAAUGGAGAUAAAUGAAUACUACUUGAAGUGAAAUCUGCUGCCAUUCAAGUUGUUUUUCCCAAUAGAUUUUGAUCGUUUGGCUAACUGCUAACAUUCCAUCAAAAGAAUGGAGAAGAGAUUAAAAACCAACAAAUCUUGACUUCCUACAGAGGCACUGCCAGCAGGGGCGGAGGGAGAAGCAGACUCCCCACUGAGCACGGAGCCGGACAAGGGACUCCAUCCCAGGACCCUGAAAUCAUGACCUGUGCCAAAGGCAGAUGUUUAACCAACUGAGACACCCAGGUGCCCCAAGGGAAUGAACUUUUAGCGCACAUUGUGCUGGGAAUUGUGAAUUGUGCUGAGUGGAAAAAAAAAAAGCCAAUCUCAAAAGGUUGUAUACUGCAUGAUUCCAUUUAUACAAUAUUCUCAAAAUGAUAAAAUUAUAGGGACUGAGAACAGAUCAGUGAUUGCCAGGGAGGGGUGGAGUGAGGGAGAGUGGGUGUGAUUAUCAAAGAGUAAUGCAAGAGAGAUCUUUCCAGUGAUGGAACAGUUCCCUGUCUUGACUGUGGUGGUGGUUACAGGAGUCUGCACAUGUGAUCAAACUGCCCAGAACGCACACGCACAUGCACAUAAUACAGGUAAAACCGGUGAAACCUGAAUAAGGUAAGUGAAUUGCAACAAUGUCAUUUUUCCUAGUUUGGAAAUUGUACUACAAUUAAUGUAAGAUAUUGUCAUUGGGAGAAAUUGGGUGAAAAGUACAUGGUACCUCUUUAAUAUUUUUGCAACUCUCUGUGAAUCUAUAGUCCCUUUAUUUAUUUAUUUAUUUAUUUAUUUAUUAUUUUUUAUAAACAUGUAUUUUUAUCCUCAGGGGUACAGGUCUAUGAAUCAGCACUCACCAAAGCACAUACCCUCCCCAAUGUCCAUAACCCCAUCUAUAGUCCCUUUAAAAUAAGAAGUUAAAAAAAAUGGAGUAUAACAUGAUAAUGGGGCCACUCUUUGAAAAACUGUCUGAAAUAUGUGACCCAACUUUUCUUUUUUGUGUGGAGAUAACAAAUCCAAAGUGACAACUUGUAGAUCUCUAUAGCUAUAAAAAUGGAAGUGAUUCCCAAACAUAAACUGAUUCCUUUGUGUGAACACUCUAUUUUUAUGUUUCUGGAAACUGACUCAACGUGUUUAUUGACACUUUCUUCUAACUGUGAAAUGUCUGCUUUUCCUAAUGAAAAGUGUUCCAGAAAACCAAGCAAUGACAUCUAGUGCUGUACAACUUCAAGAUGCUCUUCCAUUGUUUGCUUUGUACCCUUGCCACAUCUACUUUCUGAAGACAUGCAUCAGUUGAUAAUAGCCACUGGGGGUCAGACUUCCACAUGGCCUUUACCAAACAUAUGAUUUCAUACCCAGUGCAACGGCAGAAGCGGCGACCUACAGAUUAACAGAACUCAAACCUUCCUCCCUUCUUGUAAGCCCACCAAAGCAACAGAGAUAUGUAUGUUCAUGGUAAUUACCCAAUUCAGAAUGCAAACGUAUUCAGGAAGAGACACCAGAGUAGUUUUAUAUAAAUCUUGGUUAAGUAUAUCACAGUUAAUGAGGAAUUCAUCAGUGGCCAGUGUGUUCUCUGACCUCUGGAGAUACAACCGUCCUUUCUACAGUCUGGGCAAGUGGAGCCCCUGCCCUGGGCCCCUCAUUUCAUAAGCCCCCACACUGGUCCCUCCUAGCAUGCCCUUCACCAUAGGACAAAGAAUCGCAAAUCUUUUCCAAAUGGCUGGAGAAAUCCCAGAUUUCUUCCCAGUAGUUAUCACAGAGUGAAAUUUUGGGCAAUGAUAAGCAAGAGGAAAGCUCCAAAAGAGACCUUCAAGAAGAAGCAGAUACUUGCUCGGGCUGAGGACGACGGAGCGAAGUUCAAAAGGGAGGUCUAUUAUGAAACAUAGAAGAUAAAAGAGGAAAAAACCAAGAUCAGAACUGUCAGAUUCUAGAAAUUGGUUUGAAUUUCUGUGUUCGAACAACAUAUUGCUGAAUCUAACCGCCAGGACAUGACAGAAAAAUGUCACUAGCUGAGCUCCUGCAUUGCAGUGUGAAGAUGACAGGGACGGGCUCCAAUGGUACACCACGCACACCGAUCCAGAAAAGAUGUUGCUAAUCACCAGUGUUGCUGGCACUGCCUCCAGGCGGUUCUUCUCUAGAAGAUGGACGUGGGUGAGUCACAAGGGGACUUCCUGUAUUGCUGCCUUUACAAAACCAAUUACUCAGCACAGAGAGGGAAGUGAUUGUAUCUUCCUAGGGACCAGGGAAGGAAUUCCCAAGUGGUCAGCCUCACAAAUCAGCGUUCCUUGGUCUACAGGCUUCAGUGACUACAUCUUUUUUCUCUUCCUAUAUUUAUAAAUGAUAUCCAAACUCCGGGACACACAUGUAACUAAAAUGAUGUCACCUAUUGUCACACUUAGAGAGUCUCCAUUUAGCUCGUACCAUGGGAUUUCCAAGGUUCCUUGGUGUCUCCUUUGCAAACUUUCAUAUCCCUGCUUUUCAAGGUGAGUUGUGAUGUCAUCACUUAGGACUGAAGAACACUAAGCCAACAGUCUAGCACAGAUUAAAAGAAUUUUCCUGAGUGGCACAAUGCACAGCUCGCAUCAAAUGGUAAUAAAUAUGGCCGUGCCCUAAGUGAAGCAGUAACAAUUAAACCUGUCAACUUUAACUGAGGUUGAGAAAACAAAAGAUGUUCCAGUUUACAGUGGCCCCAUGCCAGGAGACUGCUGAGACUGGAGAAAAAUCAGACUGCAGACUGAAGAAUGCUAUCUGCUAAGAAGAAUGUGCUAAUGAAAAUUUUCAGGAACAGCAGCUUUCUCAAAGUCUCUUCCAGAAUGUUAGUCGGCCAGGACCUCAAAGUAUUACUGGCCACUACGUAUUCUCCGGCAGGUGCAAGGAAGAACAACACACAAAAUCUCCCCUGAGAAAAAUUAGAGGGGAUACAGGCUGAUGUUAUAUGCUAGCUGUUAACUUUUUUCAAUAACUAUAAGUUAACUUGUAUUGAUGAAAGAUUGAAACACCACCUAGACCUUGGAGGAUAAGUAUAGCUUAUGGAGGAGGCAGGGGCAAAAAGGAAGAAUGAUGCUGCCCUGAGCAUGAACUUGAGCUUUUCUGGCCUACUGCAAGAUUAAAUAAACGUUCUCUGCUGUUGGCAAAAAAGUUAAUUUUAAGUCUCAGCUUCUGUGAAUUGGUAUCAGUCUCCUCUUAGGUCAAU